Small nuclear RNA from Apodemus sylvaticus (European woodmouse), 104 nucleotides. Lineage: Eukaryota; Metazoa; Chordata; Mammalia; Rodentia; Muridae. The record is from RefSeq and is a predicted model, not a curated record.
GCUUGCUUCGGGGCGCAUGCGCUGACGUUGGACCGCUACAGGGAAGACCAGCAAGGCCUCUGUGCAAGAACGACAUGAGAAUUCAGGAAGCGCCCAUAUUCUUU